RNAcentral lists this ribosomal RNA (121 nucleotides) under Rosa chinensis. Lineage: Eukaryota; Viridiplantae; Streptophyta; Magnoliopsida; Rosales; Rosaceae. The record is from RNAcentral.
GGAUGCAAUCAUACUAGCAAUAAUGCACCGGAUCCCAUCAGAACUCCGAAGUUAAGCUUGCUUGGGCGAGAGCAGUACUAGGAUGGGUGACCUCCUGCGAAGUCCUCGUGUUGCACCCCUC